UACGUAGGGUGCGAGCGUUGUCCGGAAUUAUUGGGCGUAAAGGGCUCGUAGGCGGUCUGUCGCGUCGGGAGUGAAAACUCGAGGCUUAACCUCGAGAUGUCAUCGGAAACCAUUUGGCUAGAGUCCGGAAGAGGAAAGUGGAAUUCCUGGUGUAGCGGUGGAAUGCGCAGAUAUCAGGAAGAACACCGGUGGCUAAGGCGGGUCUCUGGGCAGUAACUGACGCUGAGGAGCGAAAGCGUGGGGAGCGAACAGG
RNAcentral lists this ribosomal RNA (253 nucleotides) under uncultured bacterium. Its description in RNAcentral is "partial 16S ribosomal RNA". It matches the Rfam family "Bacterial small subunit ribosomal RNA", at positions 524 to 776 of the family's 1533-position model. The record is from RNAcentral.